Molecule: non-coding RNA, 27 nt
Filed under: Rattus norvegicus (Norway rat)
Lineage: Eukaryota; Metazoa; Chordata; Mammalia; Rodentia; Muridae
Source: RNAcentral
GCCCAGGGUACCCACAGCAGUUCUGGU